GAUACAGCUAUACUCCCCCAAACCAACUGCCUCUUCUCCCCCUGUCCUUCACCCUCCUCUCCAUUCGAGGAUAGCCAGCAGCACAACGACAAUAACGGUUAUGUUUUAUGACAUAUUUGAAGCUUAUUCACAUGAUCAACAAUCUUGCUCGUUGUUUGUCUUUUCUAGCAGAACUUGAAUGAGAAAUUUUGGUUAUGUUUUGUGACAGACCGGAAGCUUAUUGACUUGGUUGAUUUGAAGGUAGAAAUUAUUUCGGAUACUGUACCAAACUAUCAUCAGAUAGCUACGCAUGUAAGACUUUCUUUUGUCUAGGGAUGAGCUCGAUGCGGUACUGGUACCUGUAUCGAACCGAAAGUACUGAUCCCGUAAAACACAAAAAGUGGAUACUGGUACCGAAAGUGGCUGGUACGGUACAAAACUGGUAAACGAACUUCGAAGGUAAAUCACCUCAAUAUACCGUACCGUACAGAACCGACAAUACCAAUCCCAAAAAACGCAAAAGUGGGCACCGAAAAUGGCUUGGUACGGUACCAGAUUUUGUAGAGUAGAUAAAGAUGUUCCAGAUUCAGUCUCAUAUGCCCACACCUCAGGGAACCAUAGUCUUGUUCUCGAAACUACUCGACUCAUGUUACUCCACAAGAAACCUGCAUAUGCUCAAACAACUACACGCUCGAAUGAUAAUCACCGGAAUCUCCUCACAUGAUUUCAUUCGAGCAAAACUAAUCUCAUCAUAUUCGGUUACUGCCCAAUUACACGAAGCAUCCAUUAUCUUCUCCGUCACCAAUCGCCGACCCACAUUUCUCUUCAACUCCUUCAUCCGAGCUUAUUCUUCCCUCAAUCAGUUCUUCAACUCUCUCACCAUUUUUCGAGAAAUGGUCCGCGCUGGUAAAUCGUUAGACCGGCAUACUUUACCACCGGUUCUCAAGUCUUGUGCAGGUGUUCCGGCUCUACGCCUGGGGCGUAGCGUCCACGUUAUUGUUUUUUCAAAUGGGUUUGAUUCGGAUGUUGCGAAUUCGAAUGCUUUGGUGACGAUGUAUUGUAAAUGUGGUGAUUUGGGGAGUGCACGGAAGGUGUUCGAUGAAAUGCUUGAGAGAAAUGUGGUUACUUGGACGGCUAUUAUGAGUGGGCAUGGGAUGUAUGGGAGAUGUGAAGAGGUGUUUGAGCUGUUUGAGAGGAUGGUGGGUGGUGGGGUGGAGCCGGAUGGGAUGACGUUUACUGCAGUUCUUAGCGCGUGUAGUCAUGGUGGGUUGGCGGAUAAAGGGAUCGAGUAUUUUUGGAUGAUGAAAGAUAGGUUUAAGUUGAGGCCGAGUUUGGAACAUUGCACUUGUAUGGUUGAUAUGUUGGGGCGAGCAGGGAGGGUGGAGGAGGCAGAGACAAUGGUGGAGAUGAUGGAUGCUGUACCAGACGGGGCGUUAUGGGGCGCGCUAUUGGCUGCGUGCAAGACUCACGGAAAGGUGGAAGUAGCCGAGAGAUUAGCCGAAAAGAUAUAUGCAAGAAGAUUAAUCUCAACAUAACAUGUUAUAAAACUACCUGCCAAUAGAGAAUCUCUUGCACGGUAGCAGAAGUCGGGACGCCCUCAGGCCACAUUGGUAUGACAACAUAAACGGCAAACCGCUCGUUGUUUCUAAUCUUGCUUGCUAUUUUCUGAGCCAACUCCAUUGGGAUUAGGUUAUCAGCUCCUAAAAGUUGGCAAGAUAGCACACACUAGCCUCAAAAACAUGUCGUCGAAUGCACAUUAGAAUAUUUUGAUUUUAACUUCAAAGGCUUACGCUCUCAUUGAAGUAGUAGUAGAAUAUACAUAUAGCACAUUGUGAAGGUAGGAUGCAAUUUGUUACCUGCAUUUUCGUAUGACCAUGCAUAUGACGAGCCAAUAAAAUAUUGAUUUUCAAUAUAAAUGAAAUGCUGAGCUGAUCGGAUCGCUUGGAUAUAUGCAUUUUGAAUGCUUUUUUCUAUAACCAUACUUUUUGCAGUGAUAAGAUUCUGCAAGAACCAGAAGGAAACAUAUGGCAUCAUCAGGAUAGAAUACCAAUAAACAGUUUUGGGGAAUCCUCUUAAAGAUCCAGAAUCUAUAGACCUGAAUAUCUGCAUCGUGAGAAAAGCCAUGAAGAGGGCCCGCCUUUUCGGAUGGGGGAAAGAAAGAAGAGAGGGGGGGGAUCUAACCUGCACAUGCCAGUUAUCAGGGUCAACUUCACUGGAAACAUACAAUGAUGGAUCAUCGGCCGGAACCACUGUGUGAGCUCCAUUAACCGGAGCAGGAUAGGUCGGACUAGCAAUCCAUGAGAUACGAUCAAUUUUCAACAAAGAAUCGUCGUCUUCCCUGUGGGCCAUCCUUUUUGCAAUAAAUUUGAAUUCUCUAAAUCUUGUAGCUUUUCUCCAUCUUUGCUCAAAGUUUAGCAGGACAUCAUAAGCAGCGGGACCUUCAAUCUUGCAGUGUAAAUCAUGCCAUGGCUGCCUCGGGGCCUUUGUUCCCGCCUAUUUUAGAUGAAAAAAAGACGAAGAACAUUCAAAGACCUAAAGAAUCCGAGUUGAAUAAACAGAAAUAGAAGACGAGAUGAUGUAGAUGCUCACGGGGAAUGUAGGUUGGUGAACGUCCUCCUUGAAUACAGUGUCGAGAUCAUGAAACAACCUAUGCUCGGGUGUGUCAUAGCGACCAUCGCAGAGAUCAAGGCCGCCUAUAAAAGCUGUAAUCUUUCUAUUGUUACCGUCUGCUUGUGUAUCCACAAGUACACAUUUUUGAUGGUGUGUAAAAGCACCUCCGACAACCUGAAACAUAAAAGAACUUGUAAAUAGAUGAAUAUAUCUGACCCUUGAUUGUCAGACUCAGUAUCCGGCGUACUUAAACAAAUUAUCGACGUCGUAAUGAUUAAGCGCAUAUUACCUGCUGUUUAAAAA
Helianthus annuus (common sunflower) is the source of this 2892-nucleotide RNA transcript. It is a transcript of the gene named putative pentatricopeptide repeat-containing protein At3g11460, mitochondrial, with no coding region annotated. The record is from RefSeq and is a predicted model, not a curated record. The transcript is spliced from 5 exons. Lineage: Eukaryota; Viridiplantae; Streptophyta; Magnoliopsida; Asterales; Asteraceae.